This 301-nucleotide ribosomal RNA is filed under the name uncultured bacterium. RNAcentral's name for it is "partial 16S ribosomal RNA". It matches the Rfam family "Bacterial small subunit ribosomal RNA", at positions 509 to 809 of the family's 1533-position model. The record is from RNAcentral.
CAGUCGCCACGGUAAUACGUAGGGUGCAAGCGUUAAUCGGAAUUACUGGGCGUAAAGCGUGCGCAGGCGGUCUGUCAAGUCGGAUGUGAAAUCCCCGGGCUCAACCUGGGAACUGCAUUCGAAACUGGCAGGCUAGAGUCUUGUAGAGGGGGGUAGAAUUCCAGGUGUAGCGGUGAAAUGCGUAGAGAUCUGGAGGAAUACAGGUGGCGAAGGCGGCCCCCUGGACAAAGACUGACGCUCAGGUGCGAAAGCGUGGGGAGCAAACAGGAUUAGAUACCCGGGUAGUCCCUGUCUCUUAUAU